UCACUGAUCAGGACUCUUCAGUUCAAUUUGUCAAAAUGAGGCUCCCUCUUCAGCUCCUGGGGCUGCUGCUGCUCUGGAUCACUGGAUCCACAGGAGAUGUUGUGAUGACCCAGACCCCACUCACUCUGUCUGUCUCCCCUGGAGAGACGGCCUCCAUCUCCUGCACGUCCAGUCAGAGCCUCGUACAUAGUGAUGGAAAAACCUACUUGAAUUGGCUUGUGCACAAGCCAGGCCAGGCUCCACGGGGCAUGAUUUAUCAGGUUUCCAAAAAGUACUCUUGGGUCCCAGACAGGUUCAGUGGCAGUGGGUCAGGGACAGAGUUCACACUCACAAUCAGCAGGGUGGAGGCUGAGGACGC
Chinchilla lanigera (long-tailed chinchilla) is the source of this 358-nucleotide non-coding RNA. The record is from the annotation of a RefSeq genome assembly. NCBI's taxonomy places the organism in Eukaryota, Metazoa, Chordata, Mammalia, Rodentia, Chinchillidae.